AUGAACUGUUGGACUUCCAGACCAGCAGGUUUAGGGAGGUCAUUUAUGGGGUCACACUCUGACCCCCCCCACACACACACACACACACACAUGAUAGCUGUGUAUGUCCCGCCCUCUGCUAACGCUGCAGCAGCCUGUGAGGUCCUGCACACUGUAACCAGCAGACUUCAAACACAGCACCCUCAGGCCCUUUUCCUGAUCUCUGGGGACUUUAAUCACAUCUCCCUGUCCUCCACUCUCCCCACCUUCACCCAGUAUGUUACCUGCCACACCAGAGACAAUAAAACAUUGGACUUAUUGUAUGCCAACACCAAGGAGGCAUACAGCUCAUCACCUCUCCCUCCCCUGGGGGGCUCAGAUCACAAUCUGGUUCAUCUCCAGCCUGUGUAUAAACCUCUAGUACACAGAGAACCAGUUGUGAAACGCACAGUAAGGAAAUGGUCGGCAGAGACUGAAGAGGCCCUGAGGGACUGUUUCCAUUCUACUGUAUGGGACAACCUCUGCAGCCCCCUGGAGGAUGACCUCAACAGCAUCACAGACUGCAUUAUGGAUUACAUGAACUUCUGUGUGGACAACACCGUACCCAUCAAAAAGGUACGGUGUUUUUCUAACAACAAGCCAUGGAUAAAUCCAGAAAUUAAGGCUCUCCUCAAGGAGAAGAAGAGAGUCUUUAGAUCUGAAGACAAACAGGAGCUGAGAGUUGUCCAGAAGAAGCUGAAAUGGAAGAUAAGGCAAGGAAAGGAAAACUACAGGAGGAAGAUGGAAGAGCAGCUGCAACAGGACAACAUCAGAGGGGUUUGGAACAGCCUGAAGACAAUCUCAGGACAAAAACCAACCCCCCAGGCUGCAGGAGACUUGGGGUGGGUGAAUGACCUAAAUAAAUAUUUUAAUAGGUUUGAUCAACCACCCACCCCUCCCACAGCAUCAUCCCCCCUGCUGCAAUCUCCUUCAUCUUCAGGGACUGCCUGUCCUUCAUCUCAGGACUUCACACCUCUCAGCUUCACACCUCCCAGCUCCCAUCCAUCACAUCCACCCCCGGCUUCUGUGGACUCCAACAUACACCCCCCUCCCCCAAAAUCCACUCUUUCUAUCUCAGCACUUCAAGUGAGGAACGAGCUUCGCAAGAUCAAGGUGCGGAAGGCUGCAGGUCCAGAUCGCGUCAGCUCCAGGCUCCUGAGGUGCUGCGCAGAUGAACUGUGUGGCAUCCUAGGAUAUCUGUUCAACCUGAGCCUGUCACUGGGGAAAGUACCACAGCUGUGGAAGACAUCCUGUGUGGUACCGGUACCAAAGACCUCCCAUCCCAAGGAUCUCAGCAGCUACAGGUCGGUAGCCCUGACUUCGCAUCUGAUGAAGACCCUCGAGAGCUUGGUUCUAAACCUAGUGAGGUCUUCAUUGGAUCCACUACGGUUUGCUUACCAGCCUGGCAUUGGGGUGGAGGAUGCCAUCAUCUACCUCCUGCACCGAGCUCUGACUCACCUGGAGAAGCCUGGAAGCACUGUGAGGAUCAUGUUCUUUGAUGUCUCCAGUGCUUUUAACACCAUCCAGCCACGACUUCUGAGAGACAAGCUGGAGCUAUCGGGAGUGGACCACCAUAUGUCCCAGUGGAUACUGGACUACCUCACAGAACGUCCACAGUAUGUGAGGUCACAGGGCUGUGUCUCUGAUACACUGGUCUGCAGUACGGGGGCCCCACAGGGAACUGUGCUGGCACCGUUCCUCUUCACCCUCUACACUGCAGACUUCUCCAUCAACUCCCCACGCUGUCACCUGCAGAAGUUCUCUGACGACUCUGCCAUAGUCGGCCUCAUCACAGGUGAGGACCACUCAGAGUACAGACAGUGGACUCUGGACUUUGUAGAUUGGUGUCAGCAGAACCACCUGCUGAUCAACGCCGGGAAAACCAAGGAGUUGGUGGUGGAUUUCCGGAGAAGCAGACCCACCACACUGACACCGGUGAACAUCCAGGGAGUGGACAUUGAGAUAGUGGACUCUUAUAGGUACCUGGGUGUUCACCUGAAUAAUACACUGGACUGGAGCCACAACACUGAUGCUCUUCACAGGAAGGGUCAGAGCAGACUCUACCUGCUGAGGCGGCUGAGGUCAUUUGGAGUACAGGGAGCGCUUUUAAAGACCUUCUAUGACUCUGUGGUGGCAUCUGUCAUUUUUUACAGUGUGGUAUGUUGGAGCAGCAGUUUAUCGGCAGCUGAGAGGUUGGAUAAACUCAUCAGGAAGGCCAGCUCUGUUCUGGGAUGCACCCUGGACCCAGUGCAGGUGGUGGGAGACAGAAGGAUUCUGGCCCAGAUAACAUCUCUGAUGGACAGUCUCCCACCCCAUGCAUGUAAAUGUUGCUGA
This 2352-nucleotide long non-coding RNA is filed under the name Oreochromis niloticus (Nile tilapia). Its description in RNAcentral is "lncRNA (ENSONIG00000027814.1)". Lineage: Eukaryota; Metazoa; Chordata; Actinopteri; Cichliformes; Cichlidae. The record is from RNAcentral.